Molecule: unclassified non-coding RNA, 367 nt
Filed under: uncultured Gemmatimonadaceae bacterium
Lineage: Bacteria; Pseudomonadati; Gemmatimonadota; Gemmatimonadia; Gemmatimonadales; Gemmatimonadaceae
Description: contains 16S-23S intergenic spacer region
Source: RNAcentral
UCCGGUUUGAAACCGGCGGUCCCGCUAGACCCGGUAGCAACUGGGAGCGGGGGUUGCGCUCGUUGCGGGACUUAACCCAACAUCUCACGACACGAGCUGACGACAGCCAUGCAGCACCUGUCGAGGGACUCCGAAGAGGGGUCCUGGUUUCUCAGGACUUUCCCCUCGAUGUCAAGCCCAGGUAAGGUUCUUCGCGUUGCGUCGAAUUAAACCACAUGCUCCACCGCUUGUGCGGGCCCCCGUCAAUUCCUUUGAGUUUCAGCCUUGCGGCCGUACUCCCCAGGCGGGGCACUUAAUGCGUUAGCGCCGGCACCCAGGGGGUCGCUCCCCCAGGCACCUAGUGCCCAUCGUUUACGGCGUGGACUAC